GAUGAACGCUGGCGGCGUGCCUAAUACAUGCAAGUCGAACGCUGGAACUCUAGCUUGCUAGAUUGAAGGAGUGGCGAACGGGUGAGUAAUACAUAAGCAACCUACCCACGACGACUGGGAUAAUCUCUGGAAACGGGGACUAAUACCGGAAAGGUAAUCGGAAGGCAUCUUCUGAUUAUUAAAUGUUAACAGCACUGGUGGAUGGGCUUAUGGCGCAUUUGUUAGUUGGUGUGGUAACGGCCCACCAGGACGAUGAUGCGUAGCCGGCCGGAGGGGGGGAGGGGCGACAUGGGGACCGGGACACUGGCCAGAGACCUACGGCAGGCAGCAGUAGGGAAUUCUGGGGAAGGGAAUAUACCAUGACGGAGCAACGCCGGGUGAAUGAUGGCGGCGUGCGGGAUGUAGAGCUCUGUUGUAAGGGAGGAACGGUAGUUAGAGAAUAUGUGAGUGACGGUACCUGAUCAAAAAGCACCGGCUAACUACGUG
RNAcentral lists this ribosomal RNA (486 nucleotides) under uncultured bacterium. RNAcentral describes it as "partial 16S ribosomal RNA". It matches the Rfam family "Bacterial small subunit ribosomal RNA", at positions 28 to 507 of the family's 1533-position model. The record is from RNAcentral.